Molecule: transfer RNA, 70 nt
Filed under: Allobates granti
Lineage: Eukaryota; Metazoa; Chordata; Amphibia; Anura; Aromobatidae
Description: tRNA-Arg
Rfam family: tRNA
About the family: Transfer RNA (tRNA) molecules are approximately 80 nucleotides in length.
Source: RNAcentral
GAAAUGUUAGUCUAAUUCUAAGACAGCUGAUUUCGACUCAGCAGAUUAUAGUGCAACUCCAUAAUAUUUU